GUUUGAAAUAUCGCACUCUUACGAAGAACAUCUCUCUUUUUUUAAGAGAAAUAGAGAUUACCACAUCUCUUCUCAAAGGAAUCCUGAAAAAAAAUUAAAAAAAGAAGGUUUGAGAUACUGACUGAAUCUGGGGGAUUACACCUAGAUUCACCUGGCAGUCCACUCUCCAAAAUUGUCGUCUUCUCUAAAAAAAGGGCAGGGUCUGCCGUGAAGAAGCAGCUGAACUGAGUGGACAGGUCGUUUAGCUAAACAGAAUUAAACGCCAAAGUUAAGAAGAUUGGAAAAGAACCAUUGUAAAACUGAUCACUCAUGGAAAAAAAUCAAUUCAAAGUUGAAAUGGUAUUUUUUAUGCCUUUGUGAAAACAGAGUAGUUUGGUAACGUUUUGAGCAGCAGCCCUUUAUCGGGGUGACACUUCUGUUUUGAGUGUUAGCCAUUCGUUGGAGCUUAAAAACGCUUAAAGCUAUGCUGUUUUAAACAUUCUAUUACAACCUUAUCUUUUUCCCUUGAUUUCACCAAGCCUACACAGACCACCUAGUUAUUCUACGGCUUGUUUCUGGGUUUUAUCUGUCAUACCUGAUGACUCAUGUCCUUCAUGUAACGCUCCAGGUCAUUCAUUAAGUCAUAGCCUUGGUGGUAGUACGUAAAGUGGGAAUGCAUGAAUUUUGACAGCUGUAAAAAUCAAUUUGUACAGUAAUAAGAACAGAUACAUUGAAAUACAAUAAAGUAUUGAAAACACCA
This is a long non-coding RNA of Nematostella vectensis (starlet sea anemone), 739 nucleotides long. RefSeq lists it as uncharacterized. The transcript is spliced from 3 exons. Lineage: Eukaryota; Metazoa; Cnidaria; Anthozoa; Actiniaria; Edwardsiidae. The record is from RefSeq and is a predicted model, not a curated record.